Molecule: long non-coding RNA, 321 nt
Organism: Lampris incognitus (smalleye Pacific opah)
Lineage: Eukaryota; Metazoa; Chordata; Actinopteri; Lampriformes; Lampridae
Exons: 3
Source: RefSeq, a predicted model, not a curated record
AGGAAUGCUCCAAAUUUGGGAAGUCCAACAAAUCUGGGAAUAAAAAUGGAUCCGCAAAUGACAAAGAGGGCUCCAGUAAGAAGGUGACCCCCACAACUCAGACGAUGAGGGUGAGACAGCCCGGUCACCGCUCAGCAGGGAAGAGGGAGAAGAGGUUAAGCACCUCCUGCUUCCCCCUCUGUACCAACAAAGAGCUGCAGAAACUACCUGCCCUAGCAGACAAAGCUUGUGCUCCUGGUAGCUGUCACCCUUUAAGCUUUGCUGCCCUCUUCUGGUUGAAACAGUAAGUAAAAAUUUUUCCUCUGUCUCAAUAACUCCGUU